Spinacia oleracea (spinach) is the source of this 1440-nucleotide long non-coding RNA. RefSeq lists it as uncharacterized. NCBI's taxonomy places the organism in Eukaryota, Viridiplantae, Streptophyta, Magnoliopsida, Caryophyllales, Amaranthaceae. The record is from RefSeq and is a predicted model, not a curated record. The transcript is spliced from 4 exons.
UUAAAUGGAGUAUUGGGAAUUUAAAAAAAAACAAAAAAAAGUGAAAGCUACAUUCUGCUUUCUUAGAAGUUACAACCUCGUAAUUGUCGGCAACAGAAAUAUCCAACUUCAUUGCAUCAUACUACUAUCUCAUCCACCAAAAAAAUCGCUAAUUCAUUCGAUUGAAAUCGGUUUCCAGUAUUUUUUUUUUUUUACUGAUCUUAUUCCACUCCAUUUCUUUUUGUGAUUAUCACAAUAGUUGAAGCAACAACGGUCAUCUAGAUCUACAAUGGGAUUAUCUACAAUCCAGACCAACUUCAUCAAAUUAGAGUAAUAUCAUUCAAUUGAUUAUGAUGAUUGUUGUUGUCUCAGCAAGAAAUAUAGCAUGGUGUCUGUAGAUUUCAAUUUUUGUUUCGAGUAAAGUUUUGGAUUUGAGAGGAAGGGCGUGGUGGUGCUUGAAGUUCUACAACGGGGUUUUUGAUGAGUAUGAGUUUGAGAAAUUUGUUGGAUAAAAAUGAUAUGUUGGAUCAGAAGUUCGGACUAAGAUUCACUAUGUUGGAACAGAAAUGAUAAGUGUCUACUAAUCAAAUUACCUAUUUUUCAUUCAAAUUGAUGCUCUUUUCUUUCCAAUCAUGCUAACAUAGGUUAAUCUUUGUAGAGAGAUAUAAAUGGGUUUUCUGCUGAAAAUAGUGAGUAGAAGUUGCGUCUGCGAACAAUGGAACAUCAAACUCACAAGAUGGUAACCGGAAGAAGAAAUAGCUUACGGCCAAAAUGAUGGAGCUGGUGGCUGAGAAGCAUGUCCAAAUUGUCAUAUCUGUUGAGAACGUUUGUUUGUUUGUCUGUUCUGUUCUGUUCUUUUUCGUCUGCUUUGACUAUGAGCUGACUGAAAAUCUCCAUUGAUCUGGGGAUCUUUCUUCUCAGCUUCAAUCUAUUAUUCUUCCUUUCAUCAGGUUCUGGACUAUAGGGAGAAGAUUGAACUCCUUGUGGAUAAGACCGAAAAUCUUCAGUUUCAAGUAUGCUUUCAAUUGUUACGAUCUGAAUUUGGUUGAUGUGACAUUCUUGUGGGACACAAGUUGCUACUUUGUUCUUGUCUACAAACAGGCUGAUAGUUUCCAGAGGCAAGGCAGGCAAUUGCGGCGGAAGAUGUGGUUUCAGAACAUUCAACUGAAAUUGAUUGUUAGAGGUUCUAUUAUCCUCUCCAUCGUCAUAGUGUGGCUAGUAGCAUGCUAGAGGGUUCAAAAUGUUGAUACUUGCUUAUAUGGAUAGAAAAUAAAGACUCGGUCUAAAAAUCCACAGUUGCAAAUUUUCAGUUACCUGAUCUUUACCCUUUUUUCCUUGUACAAAACUUGAAAAAAAUAGACAAAAGAAAGGAACCAAUAGCAACUUUUGUAUUCUGUAAAUGAAGAAUGGUGUUAACUACUAAAAUGUAUUGUUCCGGUGUCUUUCUGAAUUUUUUUAUUA